Molecule: long non-coding RNA, 3000 nt
Organism: Gasterosteus aculeatus aculeatus (three-spined stickleback)
Lineage: Eukaryota; Metazoa; Chordata; Actinopteri; Perciformes; Gasterosteidae
Source: Ensembl
GGGAGGGAGGGAGGGAGGAAGAGAUAGAGGAGUGAGGGGCGGGUUGGGGGAGACGGAUGGGGGGAGAAGAGCAGCGCUGUUGUUCAUUAGUCGGAAGGAAGAACAAAUAAAGCCAAAGAAAGAAGAAGAAGUCGGGAGUUACUCCGGGCCAGUGAGCAGCCGGGGCGUUUCCCAGCAUGCACCGGGCCACGGGAAAGGGGACGCACCUCGGGGGGGGAUUAACAACCUGGCGUCGGGUGCGCUUUGCAUGCUGGGAUGUGGCCUCGUUACCUGUCGCUAGCGAACGACCGCCCGAGGCCACAAAGUCAGUAAACGUGGAGUGAGAGUGGGCGGGGCUUAAUCAAAGGAAAAAGCCAAGAGAACAUUUCCGCCCAGGAUUCUUCUAAAUGUGCCACGUGACAAAUACGGACGCCGUCACCCGAUUGGCCCGGGACGCACGGCGGGAACGACGGCCUGCAACACAACGACCGGGUUGUUGGUUUGUGUCCCAGACCUCUGCUCAAGGCCCUCGGAUGCCACGAGGGCCCAGAGGGGGCUUAACGUGCUGGAAAGCUGGCGAACGACACACACACACACACACACACACACACACACACACAUGGAAACUCAGUGCGCACGGGAGAUUUAUACGCAGAAAUCCAUCAGGGAGGAUUCUCCCAUAAGUCAUCACUCCUUUUUUUUUUUUUUUUUUUGCAGGCCGGCCACUUAUGCAAAGCAGCGGCGAGGAAGGGGCGAGCGGCCGGCGUGUGAUCGGUGCGUCAGCUGCACGGAAAAAACAAACGUGUUGUUGAGGGAAAACGCCGAGGGGAAAAAAAAGGAACGGGAGAAUAACUGAAUAACAGUUUUUUUUCAGAGGAGACGAGAUGUGGCGUCUCUGCUCUCCGAAGGCUCCGUCGCGUCCGUGCUGGAUGAUUCCACGCUUGUGUCUGACGCCAUAGCGGGGGGGCGAAGCGCCGGUCGCGGGAAAGCGAGGAGUUAACGACGCAAACAGCGGCGUCGACGGAGGAAAUGAAAGUGCGAACGAGGGUCGUGACCCCACGAGCGUGACCCUGGCGACGCAAGUUUCCAAUUUACGCUAAUUAUUACAAGAUGAGAAAGAGAGUGUGUGUGUGUGUCUGUGUGUGUGUGUGUGAGUGUGAGAGGAUGCUCCAGGCUCACAUAUGAAACCGAUCGCCUCCCACUGAAGGUUCAACGAACUCCAGCACAUUAUAUUAACGUGAAGAUAAAUGGCUUCACAACACACCAACACACUGCUACUUGUCUUCAGUGUGUGUGUGUGUGCCAUCCACAUCUGUGGAUGUUUAUCACAUCAUUGAGGAGGGACUGACAGAGGGGGGAGGGGGGGGACACAAAUUAAGAUGGAGAGAGAGAGAGGGAGAGAGGGGGGGGAGCUAAUGAGGACGAUUGUGUUCUUCCAGCCGACCAUGUCGGUCUCGGCUACCGGAGAAAGCGCCGUUUGACUCUCGGGAGACGGGAACGCAGGGACAUCGAGAGGCAGAGGCGCUGAAUCGUUGAAUAGGAGCAUGAACGAGGCUUAAAAAGGUCACGGAGCUUUCAAGGGAACUGAGAACCCUGAACGAUUAAACCGCUGGACCCAUUUAGUCACUCGGACUCAAAAACGCGCUGCUCCCUGGUAGGAUGAACACAAACGUCGGCUCUUUGUGCGUGCAGAGAUGAUAAUUAACUACGCUGAUCCUCAGAGGGCCCAGUGUGCUUCUGCUGCAGCAUCUUUUAUCCGUCGGCUUUCCUUCCUUCCGUCCCUCAUAACUCCCACGCUCUCGCUCAGCCUCCUCAGGUUUGUUGGUUUUGCUCAACGUGGCGGAACAACAACUCGAGCAGGAUGGAUGGAUGUGACCGACGGGGGGAUGUGGAGGGGGGCUGGAGGUCCUGCAGCUUUUACAUCUGUCUGCGUGGGCGAAGGACCCAAGAAAAGAUAAAAAGAAAAACAAACACCAAAAACCGCCUCAAAUCCGCCUCAAUUUUUAUAACUUUCAAAACACGAGACGUCUUCAGUGAUGGAACGGAGACACAACUGUGGUUUGGAGGGAGGCUGUGUGUGUGUGUGUGUAUUAUCUCACCCAUUGGCCCUUCUCUAUAAUGACAAGUGAGCGUAUUUAAUCGUUGGAUAAAACACGGGAUGGAAGAUGAAAACCAGACCGUCGCUCACCAACACGUCGGACGAGGACUGUAACUUGUGACCCGCUGGACGUUUGGCUUCCAAACAUUUGGGGGAAAUAUGCAGAGGCAAAAUAAAACAACACAGGCCACGCAUCAAAAUUCCGUUGCUGGCAAUAAAAACAGAGUAAUUGACGACUAAACGUGAUCCGAACCUCCGUCCCCUCUGAGAAGACGAGGGGACGAGGCGGGGAUCGAACACGUGGACCGGACAUGGAUCCAGAUGCACCAUCAAAGGCCGCGGAGGGGAAAAUAAGCACCUUUUAAUGGUGUCUCCAGAUGAUCUUUUGCACGUGUUUGUGUGAAUUCAGAUGUGUGUUUGUGUGCACGCGUGUGAUCAUUUGUGUGUUUGUUGUUGUUUUUCUGGUGCAGCUGGGCAGCAGAGCUCCAUCGCGUUGCACGCGGCGCUAAAACUGCAGCGGUAAUCAGCAUUAAUUCGGCACCCUUUCAUAAUAAAAGCUUAGAGGACUCGGCGCACAAGUACACAAAUAAAUCGGCGGCGUUAUGCGAGAAAAUUUAGUGCACCGAGAAUCCUGAUCGAGUAAAUCGCUUGAGGGCAGCGAGACGCUCGACCGGGAGGAGCGAGGUCAGAACCUGAGCACCGUGACCUCGAAGGAUUCUUUAAGCGUCGUCCUUUAUGAACGCCCCCCCCCCCUCACAGCAAACCAAACAAGCAUCCAGACACUAAACGCAGGAAAUUUAAAAAGGACGGGGGUAGAAAGGACAGCCGGGGACCGCGUGUGUGCACGGACACAGGAAAUACCAACUUUCUCCUACAAGCGCCGCUCAUGCAUAAAAGAUGAGGAGACAACGAGCGAACACGCA